RNAcentral lists this ribosomal RNA (161 nucleotides) under Papaver somniferum (opium poppy). RNAcentral's name for it is "5.8S ribosomal RNA". It matches the Rfam family "5.8S ribosomal RNA". Rfam says of the family: 5.8S ribosomal RNA (5.8S rRNA) is a component of the large subunit of the eukaryotic ribosome. It is transcribed by RNA polymerase I as part of the 45S precursor that also contains 18S and 28S rRNA. The record is from RNAcentral. RNAcentral also lists the same sequence under 6 other names. Lineage: Eukaryota; Viridiplantae; Streptophyta; Magnoliopsida; Ranunculales; Papaveraceae.
GAACGACUCUCGGCAACGGAUAUCUCGGCUCUCGCAUCGAUGAAGAACGUAGCGAAAUGCGAUACUUGGUGUGAAUUGCAGAAUCCCGUGAACCAUCGAGUUUUUGAACGCAAGUUGCGCCCCAAGCCUUCGGGCCGAGGGCACGCUUGCCUGGGCGUCAC